This 249-nucleotide ribosomal RNA is filed under the name uncultured bacterium. RNAcentral's name for it is "partial 16S ribosomal RNA". It matches the Rfam family "Bacterial small subunit ribosomal RNA", at positions 57 to 305 of the family's 1533-position model. The record is from RNAcentral.
GCAAGUCGAGGGGUAACAGGGAGCUUGCUCUGCUGACUACCGGCGCACGGGUGCGUAACGCGUUUUCAACCUACCUUCUACCGGGGGAUAGUCAUUAUACAUGUUGAAUAAUACCCCAUACGAUCUUUUUCUGGCAUUACUUAAAGAGGAAAGAUUCGGCGGUAGAAGAUGGGCAUGCGUCCUAUUAGUGAGUUGGUGAGGUAACGGCUCACCAAGACCGCGAGAGGUAGGGGGCCUGAGAGGGGGAUC